CUACGGGCGGCUGCAGUGAGGAACAUUGCACAGUGGGGGGAACCCUGAUGCAGCAACGCCGCGUGGAGGAUGACGCAUUUCUUUUUUUAAACUCCUUUUAUAUGUCAAGAAAAUGACGGUAGCAUAUGAAUAAGCACCGGCUAACUCCGUGCCAGCAGCCGCGGUAAUACGGAGGGUGCAAGCGUUACUCGGAAUCACUGGGCGUAAAGGACGCGUAGGCGGGUUGGAAAGUCAGGUGUGAAAUCCUACAGCUUAACUGUAGAACUGCACUUGAAACUUCUAAUCUAGAGUAUGGGAGGGGGAGAUGGAAUUAGUGGUGUAGGGGUAAAAUCCGUAGAUAUCACUAGGAAUACCUAAAGCGAAGGCGAUCUCCUGGAACAUUACUGACGCUAAGGCGUGAAAGCGUGGGGAGCAAACAGGAUUAGAUACCCCCGUAGUC
RNAcentral lists this ribosomal RNA (439 nucleotides) under uncultured bacterium. RNAcentral describes it as "partial 16S ribosomal RNA". It matches the Rfam family "Bacterial small subunit ribosomal RNA", at positions 339 to 795 of the family's 1533-position model. The record is from RNAcentral.